This 253-nucleotide ribosomal RNA is filed under the name uncultured bacterium. Its description in RNAcentral is "partial 16S ribosomal RNA". It matches the Rfam family "Bacterial small subunit ribosomal RNA", at positions 524 to 776 of the family's 1533-position model. The record is from RNAcentral.
UACGAAGGGUGCAAGCGUUACUCGGAAUUACUGGGCGUAAAGCGUGCGUAGGUGGUGAGUUAAGUCUGAUGUGAAAUCCCCGGGCUCAACCUGGGAACUGCAUUUGUGACUGCAUCGCUGGAGUGCGGCAGAGGGGGAUGGAAUUCCGCGUGUAGCAGUGAAAUGCGUAGAUAUGCGGAGGAACACCGAUGGCGAAGGCAAUCCCCUGGGCCUGCACUGACGCUCAUGCACGAAAGCGUGGGGAGCAAACAGG